RNAcentral lists this ribosomal RNA (497 nucleotides) under uncultured bacterium. RNAcentral describes it as "partial 16S ribosomal RNA". It matches the Rfam family "Bacterial small subunit ribosomal RNA", at positions 28 to 507 of the family's 1533-position model. The record is from RNAcentral.
GAUGAACGCUGGCGGCGUGCCUAAUACAUGCAAGUCGAGCGAACAGACGAGGAGCUUGCUCCUCUGACGUUAGCGGCGGACGGGUGAGAAACACGUGGAUAACCUACCUAUAAGACUGGGAUAACUUCGGGAAACCGGAGCUAAUACCGGAUAAUAUAUUGAACCGCAUGGUUCAAUAGUGAAAGACGGUUUUGCUAUCACUUAUAGAUGGAUCCGCGCCGCAUUAGCUAGUUGGUAAGGUAACGGCUUACCAAGGCAACGAUGCGUAGCCGACCUGAGAGGGUGAUCGGCCACACUGGAACGGGGACACGGUCCAGACGCCUACGGGAGGCAGCAGUAGGGAAUCUUCCGCAAUGGGCGAAAGCCUGACGGAGCAACGCCGCGUGAGUGAUGAAGGUCUUCGGAUCGUAAAACUCUGUUAUUAGGGAAGAACAAAUGUGUAAGUAACUAUGCACGUCUUGACGGUACCUAAUCAGAAAGCCACGGCUAACUACGUG